Molecule: unclassified non-coding RNA, 215 nt
Filed under: soil metagenome
Description: partial contains 5.8S ribosomal RNA, internal transcribed spacer 2, and large subunit ribosomal RNA
Source: RNAcentral
AACGCACGAGACCUGCGGACCUGCGGAGGGAUCAUUACUGAGUUUCACAACUCUCUAACCCUGUGUGAACUGAAGUCUGGUUGCUCAGGCAGGCGGCCCCCGGGGGGAGCCGCAGCUUCUCUGAAGCGCCUGCCGGAGGAUACCUAAACUCGUUUUAACAUAUAAUCUUCUGAGUAAUAAAAAAAAUGAAUCAAAACUUUUAGCAAUGGAUCUCU